GACGAACGCUGGCGGCGUGCCUAAUACAUGCAAGUAGAACGCUGAAGAGAGGAGCUUACUCUUCUUGGAUGAGUUGCGAACGGGUGAGUAACGCGUAGGUAACCUGCCUUGUAGCGGGGGAUAACUAUUGGAAACGAUAGCUAAUACCGCAUAACAAUGGAUGACACAUGUCAUUUAUUUGAAAGGGGCAAUUGCUCCACUACAAGAUGGACCUGCGUUGUAUUAGCUAGUAGGUGAGGUAAUGGCUCACCUAGGCGACGAUACAUAGCCGACCUGAGAGGGUGAUCGGCAACACUGGGACUGAGACACGGCCCAGACUCCUACGGGAGGCAGCAGUAGGGAAUCUUCGGCAAUGGGGGCAACCCUGACCGAGCAACGCCGCGUGAGUGAAGAAGGUUUUCGGAUCGUAAAGCUCUGUUGUAAGUCAAGAACGGGUGUGAGAGUGGAAAGUUCACACUGUGACGGUAGCUUACCAGAAAGGGACGGCUAACUACGUG
Molecule: ribosomal RNA, 497 nt
Filed under: uncultured bacterium
Lineage: Bacteria
Description: partial 16S ribosomal RNA
Rfam family: Bacterial small subunit ribosomal RNA
Source: RNAcentral